AUGACUACCAUUUGCACACAUGACAUACUUAACAUGAUUCCUUCUAGUACGUUGCAUCUUCGCAUUACUAGCUUGCUUGCCUUGAUUCAUAUGAUUGCUUGCUUUGUCGCAUCACCCAUGUUCCAUUAUUACUUGCUUUCUUGGGUUGAUGACGUAUAUGUUCAUGCCUCUCACAUGAUACAUCUUGUGAUGCAUGCUUGCUUGCUUGCACCUAUUCUAUUUGGUUGUUCUCACAUCAUAUGCCUCCGUACUAUGAAAUCCUCCCUUGUCCUUUCUUAUGAUGAGCAUGAUGCAUCCACUUGUUGGGUAUUUUACCAGACGAAUGAUAGGUUUUGCAUCUCCGAUAACCUCAUUUGUUUUUCCAAGUUCUUGUCAUGUUCUUUCAUUUGGGAAGAUUCACAAGGCGGUGCCGUUAUGCGACAACUUGGUCAUGCGAAGGCAUACAAGAUGUGCAACACCAACAUUUGCGAGAAUACCCUAAAGGUGAACUCCUUCCCUUUGAGACAUCCUCAAAUACGCAUAUUGGAUGGAUCACUCUUUCAUUGUUGUCUCCUUCUUGGUGUCCACAUGAUACAUCUCGCGAACGGAGGAGCGACAUUGGAGAUUGGAUCCAUGGAAAUUCAAGUUGAGGAGUGCUCGGACUUAGUGGAUUCACCACCGGACCACCACUUCUACCACAACAUUGAGCUAUGUUACAACACCACCCAUAACAAAUUUGCAUCUUAUGCAUGGAUUGACUCACCUUAUGAUUGCCUUGUUGCAUCUUGUAUUUCUAUGUCAUCCAUGAUAUAUGAGCUUGUGCAUUUCCUUAGCAAAUUUGUUAUGAUCUUUCUUGAUGGAAUAUUCAUACAUAAUGAUCACAUUGCCUACCAUCAAUUGCAUGAUAACAUAAUCAUAUUGAGCAUACAUUGCCAUAUUCAUGCUAUUGAUAAACCGUCUCACUAUGACAUCAUUUUGUACCGUGGUUGCAUUGAUCACAUACACAAUACAUUUGUGUGCACAAUGAAUGCUUUUGCUCCCAUGAAUGCUUUACAUGUCAUUUUACAUCAUUUGGAUAAGCAUCUCAUGCAUUUUCAUGAACAAUUCCUUUAG
This 1092-nucleotide ribosomal RNA is filed under the name Triticum aestivum (bread wheat). RNAcentral's name for it is "partial small subunit ribosomal RNA". The record is from RNAcentral. Lineage: Eukaryota; Viridiplantae; Streptophyta; Magnoliopsida; Poales; Poaceae.